This 211-nucleotide long non-coding RNA is filed under the name Elaeis guineensis (African oil palm). RNAcentral describes it as "long non-coding RNA (EGUI_LNC010771)". Lineage: Eukaryota; Viridiplantae; Streptophyta; Magnoliopsida; Arecales; Arecaceae. The record is from RNAcentral.
GGCUUAUGGGUGGGUACAGAUUGAAAUUUACUGAUCAGAUAUUAGAUCAAGUCACGCAUAGGUCAGAUUUUAUAUAUGGUUGCCCUUGACUUCUUAAAGGAGAUCUCCAAAUACAAAAGACAUAAAUGAGUUUGAUAAGAUUCAUUUCAAUGUAAUUAUGUAAAUGGCCACAAUGAAUGAUUUUUUUUUUUUAAAUAAACUACGAAGGGGA